GGGCUAUAGCUCAGCUGGGAGAGCGCCUGCCUUGCAAGCAGGGGGUCACUGGUUCGAGCCCGGUAUCGCCCA
This 72-nucleotide transfer RNA is filed under the name Vibrio parahaemolyticus. RNAcentral's name for it is "tRNA-Ala". It matches the Rfam family "tRNA". Rfam says of the family: Transfer RNA (tRNA) molecules are approximately 80 nucleotides in length. Their secondary structure includes four short double-helical elements and three loops (D, anti-codon, and T loops). Lineage: Bacteria; Pseudomonadati; Pseudomonadota; Gammaproteobacteria; Vibrionales; Vibrionaceae. The record is from RNAcentral.